AUGAUCAGGCCACAAGAAAAUUAGGUAACAUUUUCCCCUACUGUGAUUUAUGGUUUAGUCCUAUGACAUAUAAAGAAAACAUAAGAAUGCAUGAAAUAUUCUGCAGCUGCCAGGUAGUUUUUAUUUUCCAAAACAUUCUUAUUGCUUGUUGUGCUAUGAACACUUGGCUCCUCUACAGUCGUUUUGCUGUUUAGUAUUAAAAUAAUGUGAUCCAAUUUUUCUUCUUGCCACCAUUUUCCAAAAGCCCUAAUUAUGCUUCACGGGAUAUUGUAAACAGAAUUUGUUGUUUUUUCUCAUUUGUCAAAGUGACAGCUGCUUAAAAUUCAUCAGCGUCCUUGCGUUGCUAUAAGGCUUAAGAAAUAGGAUAGUAAGUAGUCACGCUUUACUUUCUAUGCUAUUGUGGAAGAUACAUUUACUGAACACUUGGUUUUGUUUCUAAAUCAAUUUAAGCACCACAUUUUACCUCUCCCCGACUGCAGAAUGAGGUUGUGGGGAAUGAAAUGGAACAGUGAGCCAAUCAAAAGGCAGAAUACUGAAAAUGUCAAAGUACAGUGCAACAUGUGUCCUCAUUUUAUGGUUCUUGAAUUCCAUGGCUCAAAAAUCAUCGGAUCUGGCCCUGUCAUGCUUGGUGCAACACUGGGGUAAGGUGAGACAAAAGUGGCUUUUAAUCAUCCUUUCUGCUCUCCUGAUCCUGGCACUAUUGGGGACUGAUCCAGUCCCUUGUGUAAGGAUACGUCUAUACUUACCCGCUGGUUCGGCGGCAAGCAAUCGAUCUUCUGGGAUCGAUUUAUUGCUUCUUGUCUAGACGCGAUAAAUCGAUCCCAGAAGUGCUUGCCGUCAACGCCGGUAAUCCUGCUCCACGAGAGGAGUAGGCGGAGUUGACGGGGGAGCCUGCCUGCCGCGUGUGGACCUGCGGUCAGUACCUUUAAGUUUGAACUAAGAUACUUUGACUUCAGCUACGUUAUUCACGUAGCUGAAGUUGCAUAUCUUAGUUCGAACUGGGGGCUUAGUGUUGACCAGCCCUAAGUUAGAACAACCUUUAAACUGCUCUGAUUUACAAACAUCUGCCUGAGGAGGGGGAAAUCUUCAUGGUCUUGGUCCAGUAGCUUUAUUGCUGUUUAGUGCUGGUGGAACAAGGUUGAAGAUCUGGGCCCAUAGUUUAGGGUUUGCCUGUACCAUUUCUACAUUACAAUUCUGACAUUUAAUAGUACAGAUAUGACAAUUAAUGUUCACGAGUUACUGUACAUAGAAUCAUA
Molecule: long non-coding RNA, 1256 nt
Filed under: Chrysemys picta bellii (western painted turtle)
Lineage: Eukaryota; Metazoa; Chordata; Testudines; Emydidae
Description: lncRNA (ENSCPBG00000025825.1)
Source: RNAcentral